AAAAAAAAAAACUGUGGACAUGUAUAAAGACGUUCAUGGUCAAUACUAGUGAAGUGGCUAAAUAAUACUUCAAUUGGCAACAAUAUUUUCAUAUGAUAAAAUUUAAUACAGGCUGGGCACCAUGGCUCACACCUGUAAUCCCAGCACUUUGGGAGGCUGAGGCAGGAGAAUCUCUUGAACCUGAGAGGCAGAGGUUGCAGUGAGCCUAGAUCACACAAUUUUACUCCAGCCUGGGCAACAAGAGCGAAACUCCACCUCAAAAAAAAAAAAAAAAAGUAAUGCCAUAAUUUAAAAUAAUAUUUACAAAGAUUCUAAUGACAUGGGA
RNAcentral lists this long non-coding RNA (325 nucleotides) under Homo sapiens (human). Its description in RNAcentral is "non-protein coding lnc-CCDC38-4:1". Lineage: Eukaryota; Metazoa; Chordata; Mammalia; Primates; Hominidae. The record is from RNAcentral.